Molecule: transfer RNA, 86 nt
Filed under: Candidatus Peregrinibacteria bacterium
Lineage: Bacteria; Candidatus Peregrinibacteriota
Description: tRNA-Leu
Rfam family: tRNA
About the family: Transfer RNA (tRNA) molecules are approximately 80 nucleotides in length. Their secondary structure includes four short double-helical elements and three loops (D, anti-codon, and T loops). Further hydrogen bonds mediate the characteristic L-shaped molecular structure. tRNAs have two regions of fundamental functional importance: the anti-codon, which is responsible for specific mRNA codon recognition, and the 3' end, to which the tRNAs corresponding amino acid is attached (by aminoacyl-tRNA synthetases). tRNAs cope with the degeneracy of the genetic code in two manners: having more than one tRNA (with a specific anti-codon) for a particular amino acid; and 'wobble' base-pairing, i.e. permitting non-standard base-pairing at the 3rd anti-codon position.
Source: RNAcentral
GCCGGGGUGGCGGAAUGGCAGACGCGCCAGCCUUAGGAGCUGGUGGGAUCACUCCCGUGAGAGUUCGACCCUCUCCCCCGGCACCA